AAAUGGGGAGGUAGUGGAAAAUCAGGUGGACAAAUAAGGUGAGGAGAGAGAAAAAAUGGGAUGCCCCAUGAAUGGAGGUGCUCUUACUUCAGUCAUCUCCUUUCUCUCUGACUCUGUGUUUCUUUCCAGCCAAUUCUCUCUCCUCUUUCUCUUUGUUUCUCUCACUCUUUAGUCAAACUUUUUAGGGUUUGAUAUUCUGGGAAUUUUUAGACAUUCAUCAAUGGCGAAAAUUAGGGAUAUGGAUGAGGAUAUCAAGGAUGUUUUCGCUGAGUAUAAUUAGCUGAAGCCGAAUCAUUCAAUACCGAAAGCCUACCCGCCGGUGAUGGUCGAGAAGGAGAAGCUUCAACGACGUUGUUUCCCGGUUCACAGUUGGUGAUGGUGUA
Long non-coding RNA from Beta vulgaris subsp. vulgaris (sugar beet), 383 nucleotides. RefSeq lists it as uncharacterized. The transcript is spliced from 3 exons. The record is from RefSeq and is a predicted model, not a curated record. NCBI's taxonomy places the organism in Eukaryota, Viridiplantae, Streptophyta, Magnoliopsida, Caryophyllales, Amaranthaceae.